RNAcentral lists this ribosomal RNA (221 nucleotides) under uncultured Comamonadaceae bacterium. Its description in RNAcentral is "partial 16S ribosomal RNA". It matches the Rfam family "Bacterial small subunit ribosomal RNA", at positions 1160 to 1382 of the family's 1533-position model. Lineage: Bacteria; Pseudomonadati; Pseudomonadota; Betaproteobacteria; Burkholderiales; Comamonadaceae. The record is from RNAcentral.
AAACCGGAGGAAGGUGGGGAUGACGUCAAGUCCUCAUGGCCCUUAUAGGUGGGCUACACACGUCAUACAAUGGCUGGUACAAGGGUUGCAAACCCGCGAGGGGGAGCCAAUCCCAUAAAGCCAGUCGUAGUCCGGAUCGCAGUCUGCAACUCGACUGCGUGAAGUCGGAAUCGCUAGUAAUCGUGGAUCAGCAUGUCACGGUGAAUACGUUCCCGGGUCUU